Peromyscus leucopus (white-footed mouse) is the source of this 2446-nucleotide long non-coding RNA. RefSeq lists it as uncharacterized. Lineage: Eukaryota; Metazoa; Chordata; Mammalia; Rodentia; Cricetidae. The transcript has 3 exons. The record is from RefSeq and is a predicted model, not a curated record.
GCUAAAACAGAAGAGAUAAAUAACAUCACUGACUCCAAGCCAAAGUGCAGGGCAUCCAUACCUCCUGUCACAAUCCAGCCAGUGGGACACCACUGAGUAGAACCUACCUUGCCUCCCACCUUUCUUCAUUCACUAUGACUCUUGGUUACCAGAUUUUCAAGAUAUCCCACGACCUCAAGAGCUUGAAUUUAAUCACCACAACCAGUGGAACUGGUUGGUGUUUAACCUUGAGCCCAGAGUAACGCACAGAAGAUCAUGUUGCUGGAUGACUCCUGACAUAAAUAUUGUGAAAAAUUUCCAUGUCAGCACAGAGCAACUUCUAGGAUACAUUAAUAAGAAGAAAAACAAGGGACAGAGGUUUGUGCUGAAUUCCUUCUUCUUUAUGUAGGCAAAGAUGAAGAGCAAAAAGGUGUGUUCAUAUCUGCUUAUAUUUUUCCCAAAGAAACCCCGGAGAGGCCGUGUGGAUCUUUAAACAAGUGGUAACCAGGGUACAUAUCAGAAGAGGUAAUGAAAGUGAGGCUCCAGGCUGGCUGUGGCCUCCCCAACUCAUGCUGAAAGUUACUUGCCACUUAAAGAAUAUGAGGUGAGACUUUUAGGGUGCGGUGAUGUCAUGGGAGUCAGUAGAGGCUGUUACUGUGGGAGUUAGUUACAGUCCAGUGUGCUCCUGAUAAAAGAGAGAGAAAGAGAGAUAUUGACUUCUCCUCUGUCUGCAUAUACUGAUUUGUCCCUUCUGCUACGUCAUGACAUAACCGAAGUCGCCACCAGAAGCUGAUACAGUGUUCUCGACUUUCCCAGCCACCAGAAACAUGAGCCGCAUAAUUUAUUAUUCUUUUGGUAUGCUAGGUUUUUUUUUUCAUUUUUAUAUGGUUUUUGUCUUUUAACUGUAUGUACAUCUUAGCUUUCCAAAAAUAACAUUAAAGAUCACCAGAUGUAAUCUAAGCAAAUCUAUUUGUUUAUACCAUACAAUAACAACGGGUUAUUGAAAACCAGCUUUUGCUUCCUGUCACUUGGCAAGCUUGUAAACAUCCACCAUUGAAGAGUUCAUAGACCUGCAGCGGAGAAGAUUCCCUCUGGAUCGAGUGUGAUCUCUUCCUGGUAUUCACAACACAGUGAUAGCUGCUUCCUUCCUCUCGGGAUUCUGGCUUCUGUUGCCACCCCGGAGGCCCAACCCAGAACACAGCAGAAAAGAGCUGAUGCAGACACCUCUUACAAGGCUGUUUGACUUCCUAAACAGGGCCACCAACUGUGGAGCAAGUGUCCAAAUACCUGAACUAUGGGGGACGUCUCUCAUCUAAACCACCAUAAUUAUCAGUCCAUGUAAUUGGAAGUGACGCUCAACAAAAGCACAAAAUGUUUACUAAUUUUGAAGUCCAAGAGGAUUUUCUGCUGUUACAUGUCUUACCAGUCGUGUUAAGCAUACUUUAUGGCAUUGGAACAAAUCUGGCAGGUCUUGAUGCAAAUUUUUGUGCUCCUAGAACCGAUGGCUUGAAACAAGUUCUCUAAGAACACUCGACUUCAUACAAACCGCUUGCUAAGACUGAAUGUAAAAUCUGAAGUGUACAAUUAGGCAAUGGCAUUUGCUAUUUGCUCAGGCACUAUAAUUUUCAGUAGAAAGCCCAAACCUCUGUGCUCUGUGAUCUGUAUGUAUUCCAAAAGGCCCCUUUAUGCACUCUAUGUCUGUACCUUAAAUGACCAAGUCUGGUGUAUUUUUGAACCCACCUUCCUUGUUAAUAAUUGGUUCGUGGGAAACCUCCUGUGAAGAGUCUGUUUGUGUGUGUGUGUGUGUGUGUGUGUGUGUGUGUGUGUGUGUGUGUCUACCUCAUCUGUGCUCUAGAGUCAGACGCCCUGGUGGCUGGUCCUCUGACCUUCUCUCUCACCCUCUUUCUGUCUCAGGAACAGCAACUGUCAGGUGUGGGCUCCAUUGUCAUAGAGCUCUGCAGCAGAAAUAGGUUCAGCUGCCUUGUGAUAAAGGUACCAUGGGCUGCUCUGGCUUCCUGCUCUGAGUGACUCACUCCCCCAUUGUCUCCCCCAGGGGACUUACUGUCCGUCAUAAGGUUUGUUUCUGAAAACAUACAGCUGACCACAAUUUCAUCUUACUUAAGAACUAAAGGGGAUUUCCUGAGGAAGGGCUGGGGGAAGGGCAUCCCCAAGCCUAGAGACACUGCUCCCUGACUUGCCCCCGUGAUGGCAGCCUAGCCAAGGGUGCUGACAGGAAGUAUAAUUUCCUGUGUGUUGGCUGGGGGCAAAGCAGCAGCAGCAGCGAGCCCUUGCACCUCCACUGGACUCUGCUUACUUUCCUCAUGUAGGAAAUGGGACCCAGCCAACUAAGCUCCUCAUUCUCUUAGGCUGCAGGUCAGCAACCACUUUGUGGACAGGAAAUGAGUAAUUAGUGUCAAUGGCUUCCCAGUUUCUGUGCAUCUCAUCCACACUGCCAUCGUAGCAGAAG